AUCGGAAGAAGAGGUUGCAUGACUCAUCAGUAGUCGUUGUUAGGUGAUUAAGAACCGGAGCAAUGAUGAAAGGGUGCCAUGCCGAAAUGGAACGCUGCUUAUUCAGCGAACUGUUGGGCCCUGGUUGAAUAAAUCAGGGACUGUCGCAAUGUGAUAAUUGCGGGGCGCUAUCGACGAU
Molecule: non-coding RNA, 178 nt
Filed under: Paucilactobacillus vaccinostercus
Lineage: Bacteria; Bacillati; Bacillota; Bacilli; Lactobacillales; Lactobacillaceae
Also listed under: 1 other name
Description: Lactobacillus vaccinostercus Lysine sequence
Rfam family: Lysine riboswitch aptamer
About the family: Riboswitches are metabolite binding domains within certain messenger RNAs that serve as precision sensors for their corresponding targets.
Source: RNAcentral